GUGCCAGCCGCCGCGGUAAUACCGGCAGCCCGAGUGAUGGCCGAUCUUAUUGGGCCUAAAGCGUCCGUAGCUGGCUGCGCAAGUCCGUCGGGAAAUCCGCCCGCUUAACGGGCGGACGUCCGGCGGAAACCAUACGGCUUGGGACCAGAGGACCCGAGGGGUACGUCGGGGGUAGGAGUGAAAUCCCGUAAUCCUGGACGGACCACCGGUGGCGAAAGCGCCUCGAGAGGACGGACCCGACAGUGAGGGACGAAAGCCAGGGUCUCGAACCGGAUUAGAAACCCGAGUAGUCC
This 293-nucleotide ribosomal RNA is filed under the name uncultured bacterium. RNAcentral's name for it is "partial 16S ribosomal RNA". It matches the Rfam family "Archaeal small subunit ribosomal RNA", at positions 455 to 747 of the family's 1478-position model. The record is from RNAcentral.